AAUUUCUACAAGAUUAGAGGAAGAAGAGAGGCAACGGGGAUUCCAUUUCUACUAGGAGUAUCAACCUCUGAGAGGGAUAUAUCCAUCUCUGUGGAUGUCAUCUGCUCUGCAGAAAACCUUUUCUUGGAACUCCCAGAUUUGAUAAAUGGUUGGUCCUCAUGAUCCACUGAUGCAGACUACUUGGGAGGUCCCAAUGUCCUGGUGCCCAAAGGCAAGAUCAUUUUUCCCCCUGCAGUGUUUCUGUCUGUCAUGAUGAUGUGAGUGGGCUCUUAUUGGGGGUGCCUAAUGCUGCAAUAAAGAAAGAGUUUUCUUGGUUUGGUGCAGUGGCUCACGCCUGUAAUCCCAACACUUU
Molecule: long non-coding RNA, 352 nt
Filed under: Pan troglodytes (chimpanzee)
Lineage: Eukaryota; Metazoa; Chordata; Mammalia; Primates; Hominidae
Description: long non-coding RNA NONPTRT004993
Source: RNAcentral